AUAAAUAUAGUUUAGACUAAAACAUUAUAUUUUCAUUAUAAAAAUAAUAAAUUUUAUUUAUUUAUA
Molecule: transfer RNA, 66 nt
Filed under: Pheidole tristis
Lineage: Eukaryota; Metazoa; Arthropoda; Insecta; Hymenoptera; Formicidae
Description: tRNA-Glu
Source: RNAcentral